This 702-nucleotide long non-coding RNA is filed under the name Equus caballus (horse). Its description in RNAcentral is "lncRNA (ENSECAG00000044058.1)". The record is from RNAcentral. Lineage: Eukaryota; Metazoa; Chordata; Mammalia; Perissodactyla; Equidae.
AAUGCAUUUUAAACACGGAGAGCUACUUCAGUGUUAUUGGUUUCACCGGUUGUGCCGGCACCGAGGGCUGUGGUUGCCCAAUCUGUCAUAGUUAAUCAACUCUCAUCUCUUAACACUGGCUGCAGUUAUCAAUGAGGAAAAGAAUGUCUCAUGCGUGACCCAGCCUUCCAGGAGCUUACAUUUGCCUCCUCUUGCAGCUGCAGAUUUACAUGCAAUAUGCUAAGAUGGAAAUAAUGCUUUAAAAAAGAAAACACACAAUCAUUUUGCGGAAGACUUGAGAAAAACGUUUUCAGCUUAAAGAGAAAAAAGCAGUGAGACCCCUUCGGCGUCUGUGCAAAACUGUUUGCUUGGCUCUGGAGGUGAUAAAAAUAAUUUAUGAAGCUCUACAUUUUUAGCAAGAGGAAAUGACCUCAGCUUUUGGCAAUCUGAUGCAGUUAGUGAAGCCUCUCUCUACUACUUUUAUGGAUUUCCUUGAGCUGCAUAUUCUGUGACCUGUAUUUCAGAUUUAUUGGCAGAUACAUAAGCCACAUUAAGUAACAUAAAAUGCAGUGAAUGCAUCAAACAACUCAGCGGGGACCGACUGACAGCGGGCGAGAGGCUGCCUCUUCGAAGAAGUCAUUCCGAAUCUGAUACCUGUUUAUGCAUUUGUCUAACCAGGCUCUGGAUUUUUAUUUUAAAUAAAGACAUUAUUUCAAAACAAAA